RNAcentral lists this ribosomal RNA (604 nucleotides) under Ngirhaphium cf. murphyi SNK-2009. RNAcentral's name for it is "partial 12S ribosomal RNA". The stretch from base 408 to 479 matches the Rfam family "tRNA". Lineage: Eukaryota; Metazoa; Arthropoda; Insecta; Diptera; Dolichopodidae. The record is from RNAcentral.
AUAGUUAUGGUCUUGAAACUUAAAAAAUUUGGCGGUAUUUUAGUCUAUUCAGAGGAACCUGUAUCAUAAUCGAUAAUCCACGAUGAACCUUACUUAGUCUUGUUUUUCAGUUUGUAUACCGCCGUUAUUUGAAGAUUUUAUAAGAAUUAUAAUUUUCAUAAUUUUUUAUUAGAAAGUAAAUCAGGUCAAGGUGCAGCUUAUGACUAAGUGUUUUAUGGGUUACAAUAAGUUUACUUAAACGGAUUUUUUUAUUAAAUUAAGAAAUUAAGGUGGAUUUGAUAGUAAAUUUCUAAAGAUUAGGAAUUUGAUUUUGGCUCUAAAAUAUGCACACAUCGCCCGUCGCUCUUGUUAUUAAUAUAAGAUAAGUCGUAACAUAGUAGAUGUACCGGAAGGUGUAUCUAGAAUGACAAUUUAAAGCUUAUUUAGUAAAGUAUUUCAUUUACACUGGAAUGAUUAUUGUGCAAAUCAAUAUAAAUUGAUUAUUUUAUAAUUAUUAAUUAUUUUUUUAUUAUUAUUAUUAUUAAAAAUAAUUAUAUUGUUUUUUUAGUAUUUUAUAUAGAAUAAAUAUUUUUUAUAAUAGUUAACUAGUAUUGUGAAAGAAUUU